RNAcentral lists this small RNA (87 nucleotides) under Flavobacterium sp. A45. RNAcentral describes it as "Flavo-1 RNA". It matches the Rfam family "Flavo-1 RNA". The record is from Rfam by way of RNAcentral. Lineage: Bacteria; Pseudomonadati; Bacteroidota; Flavobacteriia; Flavobacteriales; Flavobacteriaceae.
AGUGAACUUCGUUUGAAGCGAUAUCCUUUUUAUAAGGUGAUUUUUCUUCACCUUAUAAAAAGAUACAAGCGGAUAGCAGGAAAUAGC